RNAcentral lists this long non-coding RNA (353 nucleotides) under Fukomys damarensis (Damara mole-rat). Its description in RNAcentral is "lncRNA (ENSFDAG00000028954.1)". The record is from RNAcentral. Lineage: Eukaryota; Metazoa; Chordata; Mammalia; Rodentia; Bathyergidae.
UGCCUUGGUGUCCUAAAUCAGUUUAAAACUUACUUUUCAUGGUUGUUUUGAUUUGCAGGAAGAGCCAGAAGUCAUGGUGAUAGAUCAGAGGAGUAAGGUGGACGAGGACGCGCCACGUGGAUAGAAAGUGCAGUAAACAGUGUGCUUGGAGAGCUCUGCAAAUCCUUUGAGGUGCUGCAAACUUGGUUGAGAUUUUUUCAGGCUUGGCAUUGGGCAGCCUCACAUCUUUCUUCUCUCGGAUCUGCUUCUCGCCUAUGUUUCAAGUUCCACCUGUUGAAUAAGCUCAAGCAAAGGUAUACAUUUUAGAUUUGUUAUUGCAGUAAUACAAAGUACUGUUUUGAUUUUUGAAGUGU